UGGUUCUGGCAUCGAUGAAGAACGCAGCGAAAUGCGAUAAGUAAUGUGAAUUGCAGAAUUCAGUGAAUCAUCGAAUCUUUGAACGCACAUUGCGCCCACUAGUAUUCUGGUGGGCAUGCCUGUUCGAGCGUCAUUUCAACCCUCAAGCCUCGCUUGGUGUUGGCGCCCUGCGCAUGCCGCAGGCGCCCAAAUUCAGUGGCGGACACGCUGGGUCUCCGAGCGCAGUAACUUUUCUCGCUUUGGGCGUCCGGCGCGGGCUUGCCUCGCACCCAUCUUUUACAAGGUUGACCUCGGAUCAGGUAGGAAUACCCGCUGA
Molecule: unclassified non-coding RNA, 316 nt
Filed under: uncultured fungus
Lineage: Eukaryota; Fungi
Description: partial contains 5.8S ribosomal RNA and internal transcribed spacer 2
Rfam family: 5.8S ribosomal RNA (bases 1-133)
Source: RNAcentral